Molecule: non-coding RNA, 21 nt
Filed under: Caenorhabditis elegans
Lineage: Eukaryota; Metazoa; Nematoda; Chromadorea; Rhabditida; Rhabditidae
Source: RNAcentral
UCGAAAGGUUGUAAAAUUGAA